Molecule: ribosomal RNA, 400 nt
Filed under: uncultured marine phototrophic eukaryote
Lineage: Eukaryota
Description: bacterial SSU rRNA
Rfam family: Bacterial small subunit ribosomal RNA
Source: RNAcentral
GCCUGACGGAGCAAUACCGCGUGAGGGAUGACGGCCUAUGGGUUGUAAACCUCUUUUUUCAGGGAGGAACACAAUGACGUUACCUGAAGAAUAAGCAUCGGCUAACUCCGUGCCAGCAGCCGCGGUAAGACGGAGGAUGCAAGUGUUAUCCGGAAUCACUGGGCGUAAAGCGUCUGUAGGUGGUUUAAUAAGUCAACUGUCAAAUCUUGAGGCUCAACUUCAAAAUCGCAGUCGAAACUAUUAGACUAGAGUAUAGUAGGGGUAAAGGGAAUUUCCAGUGGAGCGGUGAAAUGCGUAGAGAUUGGAAAGAACACCGAUAGCGAAGGCACUUUACUGGGCUAUUACUAACACUCAGAGACGAAAGCUAGGGUAGCAAAUGGGAUUAGAUACCCCAGUAGUC